CCUGUCAUCGACAGGACGGAAUGUGGCCGGGCUCCCGGCUGAACCACCCA
This 50-nucleotide non-coding RNA is filed under the name unclassified sequences. The record is from Rfam.